CUCGGGUGAGUGAUCAAAAUCUGCACGCAUCUGAUGGUUUCAGCCGCAACAGAACGACAGCUUGUCCGCUCUACCGUUCCUGAUACCCUGUUCUUAUUGCGCAUGCACGAGUAGUUCAACUGUCUACCAUGACGUCCUUAUAUAGGAGAGAUCAUUAUUGUCACGCUAAACGGAUCAGACUGCUCGGUGACCACGUUUCCUGAUGGUCACCACUACGCAUCAUGGGGCACCAUAAACUCUAGCACAAGUACGAACAAACUGGAGUGGAGCGAUGGCAAACUCCUUGCCAAGAAAACACCAUGAGAAGGACUCAAAGAUGUGCAGAUAGGCACGAGUUCUUCAUGGUGGGAAUCCUGAAGACUGCUACUCUCGGCAGUGCCAUCUAGGAAUUAUUAGGCCAAUGUUAUUGCAAUGGAUGUGAUUUAGCAUUGCUCGUGUUUCCCAAGGGUUUGCUACAAAAGCACCAGGAGACAAGAUGACUUAGCAUCGUAUCGUAUGCAAGUGUGACUGCCCUUUCUGUGAAGUUUGGCGGUUCUCAAAGGUACAUCCGGCCCAGUUUAUACAAGCGUAUCGGAGGCUGACUGACGAGCAGUGCAUGGAGGUGUUUCCUAGUCAUCGUGAGAGGUGGCGUGUGCGGACAGUGGUUGAGGCCUUGGAGACUUAUCCAACGCAGACCAUCCGUGGCAUGGCUCAACUCAUCGGCAUGUCUAAGACUCGUGUGUACGAGACACUAAGAGAUGCUUUUUCCAAGCUCGAAGAUUAUUGUUACUAUUGAAUAAUUACUAUUGUUGCCAAAGAUGUAAAUAAAAGAUGCAGAGUAA
This is a long non-coding RNA of Rhipicephalus sanguineus (brown dog tick), 821 nucleotides long. RefSeq lists it as uncharacterized. The record is from RefSeq and is a predicted model, not a curated record. The transcript has 8 exons. NCBI's taxonomy places the organism in Eukaryota, Metazoa, Arthropoda, Arachnida, Ixodida, Ixodidae.